GGUUAAGCGACUAAGCGUACACGGUGGAUGCCCUGGCAGUCAGAGGCGAUGAAGGACGUGCUAAUCUGCGAUAAGCGUCGGUAAGGUGAUAUGAACCGUUAUAACCGGCGAUUUCCGAAUGGGGAAACCCAGUGUGAUUCGUCACACUAUCAUUAACUGAAUCCAUAGGUUAAUGAGGCGAACCGGGGGAACUGAAACAUCUAAGUACCCCGAGGAAAAGAAAUCAACCGAGAUUCCCCCAGUAGCGGCGAGCGAACGGGGAGCAGCCCAGAGCCUGAAUCAGUGUGUGUAUUAGUGGAAGCGUCUGGAAAGGCGCGCGAUACAGGGUGACAGCCCCGUACACAAAAAUGCACAUAUUGUGAGCUCGAUGAGUAGGGCGGGACACGUGGUAUCCUGUCUGAAUAUGGGGGGACCAUCCUCCAAGGCUAAAUACUCCUGACUGACCGAUAGUGAACCAGUACCGUGAGGGAAAGGCGAAAAGAACCCCGGCGAGGGGAGUGAAAAAGAACCUGAAACCGUGUACGUACAAGCAGUGGGAGCACGCUUAGGCGUGUGACUGCGUACCUUUUGUAUAAUGGGUCAGCGACUUAUAUUCUGUAGCAAGGUUAACCGAAUAGGGGAGCCGAAGGGAAACCGAGUCUUAACUGGGCGUUAAGUUGCAGGGUAUAGACCCGAAACCCGGUGAUCUAGCCAUGGGCAGGUUGAAGGUUGGGUAACACUAACUGGAGGACCGAACCGACUAAUGUUGAAAAAUUAGCGGAUGACUUGUGGCUGGGGGUGAAAGGCCAAUCAAACCGGGAGAUAGCUGGUUCUCCCCGAAAGCUAUUUAGGUAGCGCCUCGUGAAUUCAUCUCCGGGGGUAGAGCACUGUUUCGGCAAGGGGGUCAUCCCGACUUACCAACCCGAUGCAAACUGCGAAUACCGGAGAAUGUUAUCACGGGAGACACACGGCGGGUGCUAACGUCCGUCGUGAAGAGGGAAACAACCCAGACCGCCAGCUAAGGUCCCAAAGUCAUGGUUAAGUGGGAAACGAUGUGGGAAGGCCCAGACAGCCAGGAUGUUGGCUUAGAAGCAGCCAUCAUUUAAAGAAAGCGUAAUAGCUCACUGGUCGAGUCGGCCUGCGCGGAAGAUGUAACGGGGCUAAACCAUGCACCGAAGCUGCGGCAGCGACGCUGAUGCGUUGUUGGGUAGGGGAGCGUUCUGUAAGCCUGCGAAGGUGUGCUGUGAGGCAUGCUGGAGGUAUAAGAAGUGCGAAUGCUGACAUAAGUAACGAUAAAGCGGGUGAAAAGCCCGCUCGCCGGAAGACCAAGGGUUCCUGUCCAACGUUAAUCGGGGCAGGGUGAGUCGACCCCUAAGGCGAGGCCGAAAGGCGUAGUCGAUGGGAAACAGGUUAAUAUUCCUGUACUUGGUGUUACUGCGAAGGGGGGACGGAGAAGGCUAUGUUGGCCGGGCGACGGUUGUCCCGGUUUAAGCGUGUAGGCUGGUUUUCCAGGCAAAUCCGGAAAAUCAAGGCUGAGGCGUGAUGACGAGGCACUACGGUGCUGAAGCAACAAAUGCCCUGCUUCCAGGAAAAGCCUCUAAGCAUCAGGUAACAUCAAAUCGUACCCCAAACCGACACAGGUGGUCAGGUAGAGAAUACCAAGGCGCUUGAGAGAACUCGGGUGAAGGAACUAGGCAAAAUGGUGCCGUAACUUCGGGAGAAGGCACGCUGAUAUGUAGGUGAGGUCCCUCGCGGAUGGAGCUGAAAUCAGUCGAAGAUACCAGCUGGCUGCAACUGUUUAUUAAAAACACAGCACUGUGCAAACACGAAAGUGGACGUAUACGGUGUGACGCCUGCCCGGUGCCGGAAGGUUAAUUGAUGGGGUUAGCGCAAGCGAAGCUCUUGAUCGAAGCCCCGGUAAACGGCGGCCGUAACUAUAACGGUCCUAAGGUAGCGAAAUUCCUUGUCGGGUAAGUUCCGACCUGCACGAAUGGCGUAAUGAUGGCCAGGCUGUCUCCACCCGAGACUCAGUGAAAUUGAACUCGCUGUGAAGAUGCAGUGUACCCGCGGCAAGACGGAAAGACCCCGUGAACCUUUACUAUAGCUUGACACUGAACAUUGAGCCUUGAUGUGUAGGAUAGGUGGGAGGCUUGGAAGUGUGGACGCCAGUCUGCAUGGAGCCGACCUUGAAAUACCACCCUUUAAUGUUUGAUGUUCUAACGUUGACCCGUAAUCCGGGUUGCGGACAGUGUCUGGUGGGUAGUUUGACUGGGGCGGUCUCCUCCUAAAGAGUAACGGAGGAGCACGAAGGUUGGCUAAUCCUGGUCGGACAUCAGGAGGUUAGUGCAAUGGCAUAAGCCAGCUUGACUGCGAGCGUGACGGCGCGAGCAGGUGCGAAAGCAGGUCAUAGUGAUCCGGUGGUUCUGAAUGGAAGGGCCAUCGCUCAACGGAUAAAAGGUACUCCGGGGAUAACAGGCUGAUACCGCCCAAGAGUUCAUAUCGACGGCGGUGUUUGGCACCUCGAUGUCGGCUCAUCACAUCCUGGGGCUGAAGUAGGUCCCAAGGGUAUGGCUGUUCGCCAUUUAAAGUGGUACGCGAGCUGGGUUUAGAACGUCGUGAGACAGUUCGGUCCCUAUCUGCCGUGGGCGCUGGAGAACUGAGGGGGGCUGCUCCUAGUACGAGAGGACCGGAGUGGACGCAUCACUGGUGUUCGGGUUGUCAUGCCAAUGGCACUGCCCGGUAGCUAAAUGCGGAAGAGAUAAGUGCUGAAAGCAUCUAAGCACGAAACUUGCCCCGAGAUGAGUUCUCCCUGACCCUUUAAGGGUCCUGAAGGAACGUUGAAGACGACGACGUUGAUAGGCCGGGUGUGUAAGCGCAGCGAUGCGUUGAGCUAACCGGUACUAAUGAACCGUGAGGCUUAACCUU
Molecule: ribosomal RNA, 2904 nt
Filed under: Escherichia coli
Lineage: Bacteria; Pseudomonadati; Pseudomonadota; Gammaproteobacteria; Enterobacterales; Enterobacteriaceae
Description: 23S ribosomal RNA
Rfam family: Bacterial large subunit ribosomal RNA
Source: RNAcentral